AGGUGGGUGUCGCUGAGUGACCGGACAGAUUUCUUCUGCUUUCAGUCUCUUUUCAUGGGUCCUUCAGAAUGAGUUUUGGAAAGGAGAAAAACAAAAAGAGACCAGAAGGAACUGAGAAGCUCAAAGCAUCAAAGGACACAGCAAUAUGAGAGACCAUCAACUGAUAUACAAGCCACACCGAGAAGUUGCCAUUUGCAAGAGAGCUAUUAAUGAAAGUCACAUACCUGAAGCUCUAAAAGCAGCCCAGGGAAUGGGGAAAAUUCCCUGUCUCCAAAACAGAAGAUGAAGCCACCGUGAAGCCAAUAGCAAAAAAGUGAUCAAGCCAGAAAUCCUGCUGACUCAGGAAAUUCUAUUCUGCUAUUAGACGAGGCUAAAUGUCAGAGCACCUAGUCUGCCGUGUAUUCUUAAUAGGGUUCCUGUACUUAGCUUUGUAACAGCCUGUGGGGUUUAACUCAUUCACUAAAGAAACAUAUUGAAUGAGGACCCUGGGCCAAAGCACCACAUAUAGUCAUCCCUCGGUAAAGUAGGGAAGAAGUGGGGAUUG
This 544-nucleotide non-coding RNA is filed under the name Pongo abelii (Sumatran orangutan). The record is from RNAcentral. Lineage: Eukaryota; Metazoa; Chordata; Mammalia; Primates; Hominidae.